GAUGAAUGCUGGCGGCGUGCCUAAUACAUGCAAGUCGAGCGGUAACAGGCUUUCACUGUUUACUUCUCUCGGUUCGAUUUUUAUCGAAAAGAGAAUGAGGAGUAAAGAGUGAAAGUGCUGACGAGCGGCGGACGGCUGAGUAACGCGUGGGAACAUGCCCCAAAGUGAGGGAUAAGCAUCGGAAACGGUGUCUAAUACCGCAUAUGGUCUUCGGAUUAAAGG
Molecule: ribosomal RNA, 222 nt
Filed under: uncultured bacterium
Lineage: Bacteria
Description: partial 16S ribosomal RNA
Rfam family: Bacterial small subunit ribosomal RNA
Source: RNAcentral